This 458-nucleotide ribosomal RNA is filed under the name uncultured bacterium. RNAcentral describes it as "partial 16S ribosomal RNA". It matches the Rfam family "Bacterial small subunit ribosomal RNA", at positions 355 to 805 of the family's 1533-position model. The record is from RNAcentral.
UAGGGAAUCUUCCACAAUGGACGCAAGUCUGAUGGAGCAACGCCGCGUGAGUGAAGAAGGUUUUCGGACCGUAAAGCUCUGUUGUUGGUGAAGAAGGAUAGAGGUAGUAACUGGCCUUUAUUUGACGGUAAUCAACCAGAAAGUCACGGCUAACUACGUGCCAGCAGCCGCGGUAAUACGUAGGUGGCAAGCGUUGUCCGGAUUUAUUGGGCGUAAAGCGAGCGCAGGCGGAAGAAUAAGUCUGAUGUGAAAGCCCUCGGCUUAACCGAGGAAUUGCAUCGGAAACUGUUUUUCUUGAGUGCAGAAGAGGAGAGUAGAACUCCAUGUGUAGCGGUGGAAUGCGUAGAUAUAUGGAAGAAUACCAGUGGCGAAGGCGGCUCUCUGGUCUGCAACUGACGCUGAGGCUCGAAAGCAUGGGUAGCGAACAGGAUUAGAUACCCUGGUAGUCCAUGCCGCAA